AGAGUUUGAUCCUGGCUCAGGACUAACGCUGGCGGCGUGCCUAACACAUGCAAGUCGAGCGGGGUAGCAAUACCCAGCGGCAGACGGGUGAGUAACGCGUGGUCAACCUUCCCGAUAGUGGGGGAUAACUAGCCGAAAGGUUAGCUAAUACCGCAUACGAUCUAUGAGAGGCAUCUCUUAUAGAUGAAAGGAGCAAUCCGCUUUCGGACGGGACCGCGUCCCAUUAGCUAGAUGGUGGGGUAAUGGCCUACCAUGGCGACGAUGGGUAGCUGGUUUGAGAGAGCGACCAGCCACACUGGGACUGAGAAACGGCCCAGACUCCUACGGGAGGCAGCAGUGAGGAAUUUUCCGCAAUGGGCGAAAGCCUGACGGAGCGACGCCGCGUGUGGGAAGAAGGCCUUCGGGUCGUAAACCACUGUCGAAGGGGACGAUAAUGACGGUACCCUUGGAGGAAGCCCCGGCUAACUACGUGCCAGCAGCCGCGGUAAUAC
RNAcentral lists this ribosomal RNA (491 nucleotides) under uncultured bacterium. RNAcentral's name for it is "bacterial SSU rRNA". It matches the Rfam family "Bacterial small subunit ribosomal RNA", at positions 8 to 526 of the family's 1533-position model. The record is from RNAcentral.